Molecule: ribosomal RNA, 352 nt
Filed under: uncultured eukaryote
Lineage: Eukaryota
Description: bacterial SSU rRNA
Rfam family: Eukaryotic small subunit ribosomal RNA
Source: RNAcentral
CAAUAGCGUAUAUUAAAGUUGUUGCGGUUAAAAACGCUCGUAGUUGGAUAUCUGUCAGCGCACGGUGCUCCGCCUAGCGGUGUGUAGCCAUCAGUGUGCUGGCAUCAUCUUGGGAGGUGUGUCUGCACUUGAUUGUGCGGGCGACAAGCCAGGCAGCAUUUACUUUGAGGAAAUGAGAGUGUUUCAAGCAGGCGUCCGCCAUGAAUACGUUAGCAUGGAAUAAUAGUAUCGGACCUCGUCCCAAAGCUGUUGGUUCCUUGGGUCGAGGUAAAGGUGAAUAGGGAUUGUUGGGGCGGAUUCGUGAUUUAACUGUCAGAGGUGAAAUUCUUGGAUUUGUUAGAAGAUCGAACUA